Molecule: ribosomal RNA, 247 nt
Filed under: uncultured bacterium
Lineage: Bacteria
Description: partial 16S ribosomal RNA
Rfam family: Bacterial small subunit ribosomal RNA
Source: RNAcentral
AUACGUAGGUGGCAAGCGUUGUCCGGAAUUACUGGGUGUAAAGGGUGCGCAGGCGGGACUGCAAGUUGGAUGUGAAAUUUCGAGGCUUAACCUCGAACCUGCGUCCAAAACUGUAGUUCUUGAGUGAAGUAGAGGUAGGCGGAAUUCCGAGUGUAGCGGUGAAAUGCGUAGAUAUUCGGAGGAACACCAGUGGCGAAGGCGGCCUACUGGGCUUUAACUGACGCUGAGGCUCGAAAGCGUGGGUAGC